UCUCCGUUGGUGAACCAGCGGAGGGAUCAUUACAGAGUUUUUAACUCCCAAACCCAUGUGAACUUACCAUUGUUGCCCCGGCGGAGCCUACCCUGUAGCUACCCUGUAGGGUGGUUACCCUGUAGCGCCCCGCCGGUGGAUUUUCAAACUCUUGUUAUUUUUAGUAAGCGGCGCGUCUUAUUUUAAAUAAGUCAAAACUUUCAACAACGGAUCUCUUGGUUCUGGCAUCGAUGAAGAACACAGC
RNAcentral lists this unclassified non-coding RNA (244 nucleotides) under uncultured fungus. RNAcentral describes it as "sequence contains ITS1, 5.8S rRNA gene". The stretch from base 196 to 244 matches the Rfam family "5.8S ribosomal RNA", at positions 1 to 49 of the family's 154-position model. The record is from RNAcentral. Lineage: Eukaryota; Fungi.